RNAcentral lists this ribosomal RNA (496 nucleotides) under uncultured bacterium. Its description in RNAcentral is "partial 16S ribosomal RNA". It matches the Rfam family "Bacterial small subunit ribosomal RNA", at positions 28 to 506 of the family's 1533-position model. The record is from RNAcentral.
GAUGAACGCUGGCGGCGUGCCUAAUACAUGCAAGUCGAGCGAACAGACGAGGAGCUUGCUCCUCUGACGUUAGCGGCGGACGGGUGAGUAACACGUGGAUAACCUACCUAUAAGACUGGGAUAACUUCGGGAAACCGGAGCUAAUACCGGAUAAUAUAUUGAACCGCAUGGUUCAAUAGUGAAAGACGGUUUUGCUGUCACUUAUAGAUGGAUCCGCGCCGCAUUAGCUAGUUGGUAAGGUAACGGCUUACCAAGGCGACGAUGCGUAGCCGACCUGAGAGGGGGAUCGGCCACACUGAAACUGGGACACGGUCCAGACCCCUAGGGGAGGAAGCAGUAGGGAAUCUUCCGCAAUGGGCGAAAGCCUGACGGAGAAACGCCGCGGGAGUGAUGAAGGUCUUCGGAUCGUAAAACUUUUUUAUUAGGGAAAAAAAAAUGUGUAAGUAACUAUGCACGUCUUGACGGUACCUAAUCAAAAAGCCACGGCUAACUACGU